This 1072-nucleotide small RNA is filed under the name Pongo abelii (Sumatran orangutan). RNAcentral describes it as "retained intron". The record is from RNAcentral. Lineage: Eukaryota; Metazoa; Chordata; Mammalia; Primates; Hominidae.
AAAAGUCCCCAGUAGACCGCAGAGGCUCGCGGCCUCGGGUAGGCUCCCGCAGAUCGCCGUAGAUCUCAGUAGAUCCGGCGUGUAUUCCCCACCCGCGGAGUAUCCCGGUGUGCAGCGAUCUCCCGAGAGUUGGCGCGAGGCCACUUGGCUGCAGGGAAGGUGUGCACCUUCAGUCCGGGAAACCCGCCCCAGCCGAGUAGCCGCGCAUCCUGGGAAGCCUGGCGAGCCACGGCGCCGGGGGCGGCCAAGGGGAGGCGGGAUGAGUCUGCCAGCCGGCUGAGCGCGCUGAGGAGCCGGCCGGGUCACCGCCGGGGACAUGGUCCACGACCGCUUGGAUCGCUACUGCUGUGGCUUCGAGCCUGAGCCCUCAGACCCCUGUGUGGAAGAGAGGCUCCGAGAGAAAUGCCGGAACCCAGCCGAGCUGCGGCUGGUCCACAUCCUGGUACGUCUCCUCCACACCAUCCCCUUGUCACCCCAGACCCAGGUCUUCCUGUGUCCUUCAGAAGAUGCUGUUAACAAGUUUCAGAGAUCAGUUGAUGCUGGGGUUUCCCAGUCUUGUUCUUUUCAGCAGCAGAACCAGUUGUUUGAAUAUUUCCAGGAGUCUGCAAUAUAUAAAGCUGACAAAAUGGAGCUUUAAGAAUGUGCCUGAGGAGGAGUGUGGGGUGGGGGCUGGAGCCCUGUUUUCACUGUCUCCACUGCCCCUGAGAGACUCCAGGGAACAACUAGGGCUCCUGGAAGUAGAGUUUGAGAAUGGUGUGUCUAGUCAAAUCCUUGCUGUGCCAGUCAAUGAGGAAUUGCAGUCUGGAGGGAAAGGAAUCUCCAAGGCCAUACGGUAGCAGCAUUAGGGCAUGAACCCAAGACCACAGUGGCUCACAGGCUGGUGCUGCUCCUGUCAAAACUAGAGUCCAGGGUGGGAAGCAAUGUGCUGAGGCCAUUGGAUACAGCAGAAUAGCCACUUCUUCUGCAUAAGAAACAAGGUGCUUCCCCCGGGGAAGGGCUUCUCUAUCUUCUCCUGCAGUGAGGCAUAGUGUCCUCACAGCCUCCGUUUGCUCUUGGAAGGUAGCUGUCAGCA